AUGAUAAGCUGGAAAUCUUAUCAGCUGCCUGGCAGCAGACGUCUUGGGUCUUGGCGUAUAAAAGCUGACCAAAACAGACGCACUGCGCCAAAGCAUCUCACUUGCUUUACCAAUCACCAGUCUGGGGACAUGUCGCUUGGAUCUACACACUUGAUGCUAUUCCUGGCCCUGAUUCUGGCCGCCUCUGCAGAGGGCGUGGUCAGGCCACUACCGCCCUAUGUGGGACUGCCGACCCAGGAUGGUCUAACCCGUCUGUUCUUUAACUCUCGGGUGACACGUCGCGAUCCCAAGACCUCGGUCUCCUGCUUUGCUGGCUACAUUGGCGAAUCGAAUCUUAUUGCGGAGCAGUACAGUGGAGCCUACAGCGAAUGUCUACAGCAGGCGCACAAUUCACGGCGCGGCAUUGACAAAGACUUUCUAGCUACGCGCAGGAGAAUUGAGCAGUCGGCGGAAUCAGUUUGUGGCACGCUACGAGUCUGCAGUAAGAUUAACGGCACACUUGACUCCUUCAAUUGUCAUGCCGCAGCGGGUUCCAACAACACCAUUGCCACGUAUGGCAUCUCAGGAAAUGCCUCGGAGUCGGCUACGUUGUUGCAGGAACGCUAUCGCCUGAUCGAUCUGCAUCAUGAACAAUGCAACCACAAGGCGGAGCGCACUUACGUGGAGUCAACGGCCAGCAACUACAACUACCUUCAGGCCUGCCUCGAUGGACGCAUCAAGCCAAAGCCAUUGCCCAGCAGCACCAGCUCCACGUCAACAACUACCACAACCACAACGACCACAACGACAACAGAGGCGCCAACAACAGCCACACCGGAGCCAGUGACAACGGAAAGCCCAGCAAAUCUGGAGGAUCAGUUUAAGCAGCUUUUAAACUUGUUGAACUAAUGUCACAGCGCGUCAAGAAUGUUUUAAGCAAGCUGUUUAAAUCCUAAAAACUGCUCAAUAAUAACUCUCAGUUUGAUACGACCACUCUCAAAUAUGUAAGGCCCAUAUACGACUUUUUAUACCCUGAACCCGUCGAUGUAGAUCUCCGUCGAUGUAGAUGCUUCCUUCUGAAUGUUACAUACAUUUGCACAAA
Molecule: unclassified non-coding RNA, 1081 nt
Filed under: Drosophila virilis
Lineage: Eukaryota; Metazoa; Arthropoda; Insecta; Diptera; Drosophilidae
Description: GJ16053
Source: RNAcentral